GUCCAGAAUGAGUUGAGAUCACCGUUGAGCACCGUUUCUGUGCACCAAGCAACCCAUAUCAAACCAGCUUCAAAGAAGAGCAGCCAUAUCAAUUUUAAUAUACAAGCUUUGUUCCAAAUCUCAAGAAAAACUCCGCAUAGCGAGUUGAUUCGUUUGAUGCAAGCUUUCGGAAGCAUGAAGGAUGAACACCAGAAAUUUGUUAUUCCAGCGAUGACUGUCUUGAUAAGCAAGAGGCGUCCCGCAAAUGAUAAGGCUCUUACACUCCAUGAGUUGAACUUCCUUUUCACUUGUUGUAUCAAAACUUCACAGUUGAGUAAUGUAAGCUUUUUUUGUGCAUAGGGGCACGCCAAGGUACCGAACUGGGAGCGAUCCUUGCGGCAUGCCAGUGAUGAAUUGGAUAAGAUCACGUUCUGCGUCUGACAACCCCGAUGAGAAGAACGAGGACUUCUGGACACUCGCUGCCAAACCGGAACGAAGCUAAAAUUCCUUAAGUACUUGUAGAACAGCUUGGAGAGACUGGAAAGAGCCAUCCAAGAAGAUUAGGAGAUCGUCAGCAAAACAGAGAUGAGUCAUUCUGGCUGAUUCACAUCGUAGAUGAUAUUUGAACUUCAAUUCUCUAGCAGCUUGGUUCAGCAUGAGCGAUAAGUUAUUGAGGGCAAUGACAAACAGAUAGGGAGAUAGAGGAUCCCCUUGUUAAAUUUUUUCAUUACUAUUUUUGGCGAUCUUCAACCUGACAUACAUACAAUUCAUUACUUUUAAGGAAAAAUAAACAAAAACAUGCACAUAA
Molecule: long non-coding RNA, 787 nt
Organism: Brassica napus (rape)
Lineage: Eukaryota; Viridiplantae; Streptophyta; Magnoliopsida; Brassicales; Brassicaceae
Exons: 2
Source: RefSeq, a predicted model, not a curated record